This 274-nucleotide ribosomal RNA is filed under the name uncultured bacterium. Its description in RNAcentral is "partial 16S ribosomal RNA". It matches the Rfam family "Bacterial small subunit ribosomal RNA", at positions 523 to 796 of the family's 1533-position model. The record is from RNAcentral.
AUACGGAGGGGGUUAGCGUUGUUCGGAAUUACUGGGCGUAAAGCGCACGUAGGCGGACUGGAAAGUUGGGGGUGAAAUCCCGGGGCUCAACCCCGGAACUGCCUCCAAAACUUCCAAUCUAGAGAUCGAGAGAGGUGAGUGGAAUUCCAAGUGUAGAGGUGAAAUUCGUAGAUAUUUGGAGGAACACCAGUGGCGAAGGCGGCUCACUGGCUCGAUACUGACGCUGAGGUGCGAAAGCGUGGGGAGCAAACAGGAGUAGAAACCCCAGUAGUCC